ACAGAGGGUGCUAGCGUUGUUCGGAAUUACUGGGCGUAAAGGGCGCGUAGGCGGCCUGUUUAGUCGGGUGUGAAAUCCCGGGGCUCAACCCCGGAACUGCAUUCGAUACUGGCGGGCUGGAGACCGAGAGAGGUGAGUGGAAUACCCAGUGUAGAGGUGAAAUUCGUAGAUAUUGGGUGGAACACCGGUGGCGAAGGCGGCUCACUGGCUCGGAUCUGACGCUGAGGCGCGAAAGCGUGGGGAGCAAACAG
This 251-nucleotide ribosomal RNA is filed under the name uncultured prokaryote. RNAcentral describes it as "partial 16S rRNA". It matches the Rfam family "Bacterial small subunit ribosomal RNA", at positions 525 to 775 of the family's 1533-position model. The record is from RNAcentral.